RNAcentral lists this ribosomal RNA (501 nucleotides) under uncultured bacterium. Its description in RNAcentral is "bacterial SSU rRNA". It matches the Rfam family "Bacterial small subunit ribosomal RNA", at positions 29 to 507 of the family's 1533-position model. The record is from RNAcentral.
AACGAACGCUGGCGGCGUGCUUAACACAUGCAAGUCGAACGCGAAAGGGACUUCGGUCCUGAGUAAAGUGGCGCACGGGUGAGUAACGCGUGGAUAAUCUACCCGAUGAUCUGGGAUAACAUUUCGAAAGGGGUGCUAAUACCGGAUAAGACCACGGGCUCUUCGGAGCUUGCGGUAAAAGGUGGGGACCUUCGGGCCUACCGUUAUCGGAUGAGUCCGCGUACCAUUAGCUAGUUGGUGGGGUAAGAGCCUACCAAGGCGACGAUGGUUAGCUGGUCUGAGAGGAUGAUCAGACACACUGGAACUGAGACACGGUCCAGACUCCUACGGGAGGCAGCAGUGGGGAAUUUUGCGCAAUGGGGGAAACCCUGACGCAGCAACGCCGCGUGAGUGAUGAAGGCCUUCGGGUCGUAAAGCUCUGUCAGAGGGAAAGAAAUGCGGGAGGGUUAAUACCCCUUUUGCUUGACGGUACCCUCAAAGGAAGCACCGGCUAACUCCGUG